GCGUGGAUGAAGAAGGUCUUCGGAUUGUAAAGUCCUUUCGGCGGGGACGAUGAUGACGGUACCCGCAGAAGAAGCCCCGGCUAACUUCGUGCCAGCAGCCGCGGUAAUACGAAGGGGGCUAGCGUUGCUCGGAAUGACUGGGCGUAAAGGGCGCGUAGGCGGUUUGGUCAGUUAGGUGUGAAAUUCCUGGGCUCAACCUGGGGGCUGCACUUAAUACGGCCAGACUUGAGUGUGGAAGAGGGUCGUGGAAUUCCCAGUGUAGAGGUGAAAUUCGU
Molecule: ribosomal RNA, 275 nt
Filed under: uncultured bacterium
Lineage: Bacteria
Description: partial 16S ribosomal RNA
Rfam family: Bacterial small subunit ribosomal RNA
Source: RNAcentral